CUUCAUUCACAACAUUUAGAGCAUCCAUGGCUUAGAGAAGGUGGAGAAGCAUCUGACAAGCCGAUUGACAGCGUUGUACUCUCAACUCUUAAGGAUGAAGAGCGAUGAAUAAGUUAAAGAAACUUGCUCUAAAGGUUAGACUUCCAAGACACUAUAAUAUGAAAUGUGUUUGUCCUUGUCCUUUUCUGUCUGAAUAGGUCAUUGAGGAGAAUAUUAUAACACGGAAGAGAUCCAAGGAUUGAAGGCAAUGUUUGCUAACAUAGACACAGACAACAGUGGCACAAUCACAUAUGAAGAACUGAAAGAAGGUUUAGCUAAAUUGGGAUCAAAAAUUUACAGAAGCAGAAGUAAAGUAGCUCAUGGAUGCUGUAAGUUGGUUGAAAAAUGAAUUCCAAGCAAGUAAAAAAAUUCACAAGAUCAAGAGAAGAGACGGUUUGUAUCCAAUCCAGAAAAUCAGGAGCUGUAUUGAUGAUAUUUAUUCCGGAGAAACAGUAGAUAAGAACAGGAAGAUACUCAAAAUUUUGAUUGCUUGUGUUUUGUACUUUCUUGUGUUCUGUGACGAGGCUGUUGUUAUAAAGAGAGAAGAAGAAGGUUGCAU
Long non-coding RNA from Brassica oleracea var. oleracea, 598 nucleotides. RefSeq lists it as uncharacterized. The transcript has 3 exons. NCBI's taxonomy places the organism in Eukaryota, Viridiplantae, Streptophyta, Magnoliopsida, Brassicales, Brassicaceae. The record is from RefSeq and is a predicted model, not a curated record.